Long non-coding RNA from Antechinus flavipes (yellow-footed antechinus), 1753 nucleotides. RefSeq lists it as uncharacterized. The transcript has 2 exons. The record is from RefSeq and is a predicted model, not a curated record. NCBI's taxonomy places the organism in Eukaryota, Metazoa, Chordata, Mammalia, Dasyuromorphia, Dasyuridae.
GAUGUAUUCAAGUCUUUGAACUCAGAUGAACUCGAUCCUAUCUAUUGUAUACCUCUCCCCCAAAUUCCCUCCUUAAAAAACAAAACAAAACAAAACCAAAGAAGUCAGAUAUGAUUGUUGAACUAUUCUCAAUUAUCUUUGUCAAGUCAACCAACAUUUAUUAAGUAUCUACCAUGUGCCAGGUACCAUGCUAAUGCAUGAAACACAAAAAGAGGCAAAGGGCCUCGUUUACAAUCUAACGGAGGAGACAAGCAAACAAAUAUUUACAAAAUAAGCUAUAUACCAGAUAAAUAGGAAAUAAGCAACAAGGGAAGGCACUAGGAUGAAGAGUUUGGAAAAGGAUUCCUGUAGAAGUUGGAAUUUUAGAGAGAAUUGAAAGUCAGAAAGGCAAUAGGCAGAGAUGAGGAUGAGAGCAUUUGAGAACAGCCAGGGAAAAUGCCUUGAGCAGACAGUGUCUUUUAUAGAAAAGCAAAGAAGCUCAGAAUACAUGGUCAAGAAUAAGAUGUAAGAAAUCUGGAAAAGGAGGAUGGGCUGUAUCUGAGGGGCUUUGAAUGCCAAGUAGAGUAUUUUGCGUUUGAUCCUUGAGGGCAGAGUCAUAUAAACGACACUACCAAUUAUUAUAUGUUGUUGGGGACAGCGAUGUGGCUCCAGAUUUAGCUCCCGCCUUUCUCCACCCUGUGAGUCCUCGGGUGAGCUGGGCUCUCCGGCUCCCGGGAAAGCUUCUGCAGACGCGCACCAGGUGCGGCAAACACUUUAAAGCUUUCCCAAAGAACAGACAGGGGAGGGCCGGGGCUGGAAUUAAGGAGGCCCUAGUGCCCAGGGCAAUGCCCCGGCAAAGCAUACUCCACGUGGACCAGGAUCCGGGCUGACCCCGCGCCCGGGCCGCCUCAGGGCUAGGCUGAAGGGGAAGUGGGUAGGGACAGACUUGGCGUGCGGCCUUGCUCGAGAGAACCGUAGGGGAGCAGGGAAGAACUUCUCCAGAAGUCUGCAGUUCGCCAUGGCGUGGGCUUGGUUAAGCCAAUGGGUUGGGCUUGGCUAAACAAUGCUGGUUAAGAUCUAAGCAACAGGAAGCCCGAAGGGGUAGCGGAGUGAGGCUGCGGUUAUACGUGCGGUUAUACCAGCCUCUGCCCGCGACCGUGAGCAACUCUGACACUCAUUUUUGCUUUCACAACGGGAACAGAGCCGGGAAAGGGAUCCCCCAAUCCGAGGAGAGCCGAAAGCUGCGGCGUCCGACUGACAGGCAGACCCGCCAAUCAGACGCUGGCUCGGAGCGCAGGAGGCGGGGCUAUUCCCCGGCCUUGACAUUUGCACCUAGGCUUCGGAUUUCCGGGAUGUCCGUCCCGCCCCUCGGGGCUAAGGGAGGAGCCCGGCCAAUUGGGGGCGGUCUGAGGGGAGGUGAGCUGGUGGCUUGGAGAAAUUCCUAAAAAGACUUGUACUUUGCGGAAGGAUGUCCUCCCCCGCGGAGAAAGAGCUCUACAGAAAAUGAUGAGCAAGCUGAUUUCAGAAAAACCUGGAAAGACGUACAAUUGAUGCUAAGUGAAGUGAGCAAAACCAGAAGAUUAUUGUAUUCAGCUACAGCAAAAUUGUGUGGUGAUCAACUAUGAUGGACUUAGGUCUUCUUAAUAAUUAAAUUAUCCAAUGCAAAGCUGAUAAACUUUGUAUGGAAAAAGCCACCUGCAUGCUGAGAGAUAGUUAUACAGAUUGAAUGUGAACUACAAGAUUAAAAGAUUCACCUUUUUUUCUUGUUUCUUGA